Molecule: unclassified non-coding RNA, 199 nt
Filed under: uncultured Thelephoraceae
Lineage: Eukaryota; Fungi; Basidiomycota; Agaricomycetes; Thelephorales; Thelephoraceae
Description: sequence contains ITS1
Source: RNAcentral
CUGAACUGUCGACAUGAGUUGUUGCUGGCCCUCGAAAGGGGGCACGUGCACGCUCUGUUUACACAUCCACUCACACCUGUGCACCCUCUGUAGUUCUAUGGCCUUGGGGGCCCCGUCCCCUUGCUGUGGUCCUACGUCUUUACACACACACUGUAAUAAAGUCUCAUGGAAUGUAUGUCGCGUUUAACGCAAUACAAUA